GGCGUCGGUUGUACGGUCUCUCUUUGCUCAGCUUGGUGUGAAUGCACGUGCAUCCGCUUUUAGCUUUUUACCUACUUGCUGCUGGAAACCUGGAACUGGACCGCAAUACUUAAGUGCGCACUUGUGAAAACUUGCAGCCGCCACUCCUCGAACCAGCCGUCCUCCAUCUGCGCAAGGAUGACGUAAUUUGCCAGCGGGCCGCCCCUUGUUGGACCAUCCACCAGAUCUGCGCAGAACAUCCACCGGCAGAUCCGCGCGCCGGCGCAGCACUGGAAUAGGCCGCCGCUCCUUGCUCCUGCCGCCCACAUCCGACGCACGGAAAAUGCGACUGCCUGCGUGCCUCCCUCUGUGAUAGACAUCGAGCAGAUCUGCGAGCAGCAGCCGCCACAACAUCCGCGCGCAGCCGUAAAGAGGAGAAAACAGCAGCCGCUCCUGGGUCCCGCCGUCCUCCAUCGGCGUAUCCGCGCGCUGGCAUAGGAUGGAAGAACAGCGGCCAUUCUUCGGUCCCGUUGGCCCCCACAUGCGCAAGGACAACACGAUUUCCAGCGAGGACGCCUUUUAUGCCAUCUGUACUGGCUUUGGUGGAAGGAUGUGUCGGGUCCUCAGCGCCUAUAGAAUGCCAGUUGGCCAGGAAUGAAUUUUAAAUAGUGUCGCGUGUGUUGUGUGGAUACUAAUCCUUUUCUUUAUCUCUUCCCUACAGGGAGGCUUGUCGCCGAGUCGCUGCAACGAUAUACCAGCGAGCAGAUCUGCGCGCAGGCUUUGGCUGGAGAGUUGCUGUCAGUCGUCGGCGAUCGUUACCAGGACACAUCAGGUUAGCCAAUCUGCGCGCAGGCGUCAGUUGCAGCGGCUGCGGUUCUAGUUCCAGUGGACCUAAUAUUGCGCAAGGAUAAGGCGAUAUCCAGUGAGCCGCCUUUUGUCAAGUCAUCGAGUAGAUCUGCGCGUAGAAUAUACCAUAGUAUCUGCGCGCAGGCGUGAAUAAGGAGAUCAUCUGCUGCUUCUCGGACCUGUUGGCCCCCACAUGCCCAAGGAUGACACGAUUUCCAGCGGAGAGCUUUUUGACGUCUGGACUGGAUUUUGGUAGAAGGGGAGCCUUGUCGCCGAGUCGCUGCAAGGAUACACCAGCGAGCAGAUCUGCGCGCAGGCAUUGGCUAGGAAAAUUGCAGUCAUUCGUCGGCGCUCGUUGUCAGGACAAGAACAGGUAGCCAAUCUGCGCGCAGGCGUCAAUUGCAGCGGCUGUGGAUUCAAUUCCAGUGGACUUCAUAUUGAGCAAGGACAGCGCUCGUAUCAGCAAGCAUUGCAGGACUAGGAGACUUCAUCAGGCUGUUCUACGAAAACUUGCAGCCGCCACUCCUCGAACCAGCCGUCCUCCAUCUGCGCAAGGAUGACGUAAUUUGCCAGCGGGCCGCCCCUUGUUGGACCAUCCACCAGAUCUGCGCAGAACAUCCACCGGCAGAUCCGCGCGCCGGCGCAGCACUGGAAUAGGCCGCCGCUCCUUGCUCCUGCCGCCCACAUCCGACGCACGGAAAAUGCGACUGCCUGCGUGCCUCCCUCUGUGAUAGACAUCGAGCAGAUCUGCGAGCAGCAGCCGCCACAACAUCCGCGCGCAGCCGUAAAGAGGAGAAAACAGCAGCCGCUCCUGGGUCCCGCCGUCCUCCAUCGGCGUAUCCGCGCGCUGGCAUAGGAUGGAAGAACAGCGGCCAUUCUUCGGUCCCGUUGGCCCCCACAUGCGCAAGGACAACACGAUUUCCAGCGAGGACGCCUUUUAUGCCAUCUGUACUGGCUUUGGUGGAAGGAUGUGUCGGGUCCUCAGCGCCUAUAGAAUGCCAGUUGGCCAGGAAUGAAUUUUAAAUAGUGUCGCGUGUGUUGUGUGGAUACUAAUCCUUUUCUUUAUCUCUUCCCUACAGGGAGGCUUGUCGCCGAGUCGCUGCAACGAUAUACCAGCGAGCAGAUCUGCGCGCAGGCUUUGGCUGGAGAGUUGCUGUCAGUCGUCGGCGAUCGUUACCAGGACACAUCAGGUUAGCCAAUCUGCGCGCAGGCGUCAGUUGCAGCGGCUGCGGUUCUAGUUCCAGUGGACCUAAUAUUGCGCAAGGAUAAGGCGAUAUCCAGUGAGCCGCCUUUUGUCAAGUCAUCGAGUAGAUCUGCGCGUAGAAUAUACCAUAGUAUCUGCGCGCAGGCGUGAAUAAGGAGAUCAUCUGCUGCUUCUCGGACCUGUUGGCCCCCACAUGCCCAAGGAUGACACGAUUUCCAGCGGAGAGCUUUUUGACGUCUGGACUGGAUUUUGGUAGAAGGGGAGCCUUGUCGCCGAGUCGCUGCAAGGAUACACCAGCGAGCAGAUCU
Molecule: long non-coding RNA, 2337 nt
Organism: Drosophila teissieri
Lineage: Eukaryota; Metazoa; Arthropoda; Insecta; Diptera; Drosophilidae
Exons: 5
Source: RefSeq, a predicted model, not a curated record